RNAcentral lists this ribosomal RNA (396 nucleotides) under Triticum aestivum (bread wheat). RNAcentral describes it as "partial small subunit ribosomal RNA". Lineage: Eukaryota; Viridiplantae; Streptophyta; Magnoliopsida; Poales; Poaceae. The record is from RNAcentral.
AUGCGUUUUGUGCGGCGAAUCCAGGAGUCUAUGGUCAAGGAGGCUUUAAAAAGGAUGAAAGGAGGCAAGGCGAUGGGCCCUGAUUGUAUCCCCAUUGAGGUGUGGAAAGGUCUCGGGGACAUAGCGAUAGUAUGGCUAACCAAGCUUUUCAACCUCAUUUUUCGGGCAAACAAGAUGCCAGAAGAAUGGAGACGGAGUAUAUUAGCACCAAUCUUCAAGAACAAGGGGGAUGUUCAGAGUUGUACUAAUUACCAUGGAAUUAAGCUGAUGAGCCAUACAAUGAAGCUAUGGGAGAGAGUCAUUAAGCACCGCUUAAGAAGAAUGACAAGCGUGACCAAAAAUCAUUUUGGUUUCAUGCCUGGGAGCUCGACCAUGGAAGCCAUUUUCUUGGUAUGA